UGGGGAAUUUUCCGCAAUGGGCGAAAGCCUGACGGAGCAAUGCCGCGUGAAGGUAGAAGGCCUACGGGUCAUGAACUUCUUUUCCCGGAGAAGAAGCAAUGACGGUAUCCGGGGAAUAAGCAUCGGCUAACUCUGUGCCAGCAGCCGCGGUAAGACAGAGGAUGCAAGCGUUAUCCGGAAUGAUUGGGCGUAAAGGGUGAGUAGGCGGCAUAGUAAGUCAUAUGUGAAAGCCCGCGGCUUAACUGCGGAGUUGCAUAAGAAACUAUUGAGCUAGAGUGCAGGAGAGGCAAGCGGAAUUCCUAGUGUAGCGGUGAAAUGCGUAGAUAUUAGGAAGAACACCAGUGGCGAAGGCGGCUUGCUGGACUGUAACUGACGCUGAGUCACGAUAGCGUGGGGAGCGAACA
RNAcentral lists this ribosomal RNA (404 nucleotides) under uncultured bacterium. Its description in RNAcentral is "bacterial SSU rRNA". It matches the Rfam family "Bacterial small subunit ribosomal RNA", at positions 355 to 774 of the family's 1533-position model. The record is from RNAcentral.